UCCCAUAUGGUGUAGCGGUUAGGAUUUCUGGUUUUCGCCCACACUGGCCCGGUUCAACUCCCGGUAUGGGAA
This 72-nucleotide transfer RNA is filed under the name Nematostella vectensis (starlet sea anemone). It matches the Rfam family "tRNA". Rfam says of the family: Transfer RNA (tRNA) molecules are approximately 80 nucleotides in length. Their secondary structure includes four short double-helical elements and three loops (D, anti-codon, and T loops). Further hydrogen bonds mediate the characteristic L-shaped molecular structure. tRNAs have two regions of fundamental functional importance: the anti-codon, which is responsible for specific mRNA codon recognition, and the 3' end, to which the tRNAs corresponding amino acid is attached (by aminoacyl-tRNA synthetases). tRNAs cope with the degeneracy of the genetic code in two manners: having more than one tRNA (with a specific anti-codon) for a particular amino acid; and 'wobble' base-pairing, i.e. permitting non-standard base-pairing at the 3rd anti-codon position. The record is from Rfam by way of RNAcentral. Lineage: Eukaryota; Metazoa; Cnidaria; Anthozoa; Actiniaria; Edwardsiidae.